This is an RNA transcript of Zingiber officinale, 1074 nucleotides long. It is a transcript of the gene named arabinogalactan protein 22-like, with no coding region annotated. Lineage: Eukaryota; Viridiplantae; Streptophyta; Magnoliopsida; Zingiberales; Zingiberaceae. The transcript is spliced from 4 exons. The record is from RefSeq and is a predicted model, not a curated record.
AUUCUUUUUAUUUUCUCUUCCAUGCUUCGCCGAACCCCUCUCCUCCCGAUUCCUUUCCUUCUCUUCUUCUCAUCUGCCCGAGCAGCGUCGUUUCUUCUCCUCCUUGUCUUCCCCAACCGAUGCGCCGCCGCCGACGCCCUCCCGACGCCUCGCUUCCCUUCUCUCCGCUACAAAACUCGUCCCUUCCUCUCUGCGCCGACACCCCGAGCCUAUCUCCCUCCCGAGUCACAAUCGACGUCGAUUUCUCCGAGACCUACCUUAGCACCCGAUCGCGAUCGUGCUGGCGCUGCUUACUUCGGCAUCAGUCGAGCAUCUUGUUCCCUCUAUCCCUCACUGGGAGCCCACCAGUUACUCUCCUCUCCAAGUCAUUGUUCCACACGAGGCGAUCUUCGGCCAAAGGGAAGGAUCUGAGCCCUAAUUUGGUUGGAGUUGAUCGUGAUCGUCUUUCCAGAUGGUUACUUCCUUCUCCCUUGCGCUGGUAUUGAGGUACUAUCAUCGAUCCUUCAUUGCUGAUCUCUCGAUAGCCACUAGGUCAAGUCUCCAUCGAAGAGGAAUUGUCGAUUGGUGGCUUUUGGGAGGUGUCGACCACAAAUUUCUAGUAGCUAUGUUUUUUGGUCGUGAGUCAACAGUGCUGGUUUGAGAAGAGGUAAGGUGCACAAAUUGUUCUGGAAUUAGGUUGUGGAAUUGGUGUGUUUAUUUCUUGAUAUGAUCAGUGAGGUAGUUUCCAACAGUUACUCUUCCGGCAACAACCAUCCCUGGCUGUGGAUCAACAAGAGUGGCUGUGAGAUUGAGUGCUUCUGCAUCCAUUGUUGUGUCGAGGAAUAUCGGCGACAAAGAUAACGAUCGAAGAAGGAGUUGCAUCAAAUGACGGUAAGACAAUAGAGCAGGGAUUAGCAUACGUGCUUAUGAUCGUUGCACUUCUUAUGACUUAUUUUCUCCAUUAAGACAGUUGCUUAAUAAGUCAAAGAGUGAGGUUAAUUAAUUAAUUAAUUAUUUAGUCUAUAUGUUCUAUAAGUUAUUCUUUAAUCCCUCUCUUUGUUAACGAGAGGAUUAUUUUUAAAACGGUUUGAAUAA